Molecule: transfer RNA, 71 nt
Filed under: Candidatus Bathyanammoxibius amoris
Lineage: Bacteria; Pseudomonadati; Planctomycetota; Candidatus Brocadiia; Candidatus Brocadiales; Candidatus Bathyanammoxibiaceae
Description: tRNA-Gln
Rfam family: tRNA
About the family: Transfer RNA (tRNA) molecules are approximately 80 nucleotides in length. Their secondary structure includes four short double-helical elements and three loops (D, anti-codon, and T loops). Further hydrogen bonds mediate the characteristic L-shaped molecular structure. tRNAs have two regions of fundamental functional importance: the anti-codon, which is responsible for specific mRNA codon recognition, and the 3' end, to which the tRNAs corresponding amino acid is attached (by aminoacyl-tRNA synthetases). tRNAs cope with the degeneracy of the genetic code in two manners: having more than one tRNA (with a specific anti-codon) for a particular amino acid; and 'wobble' base-pairing, i.e. permitting non-standard base-pairing at the 3rd anti-codon position.
Source: RNAcentral
UACCCGGUAGUGUAAUGGUAGCACUAGAGAUUUUGGAUCUCUCGGUGGAGGUUCGAAUCCUCCCCGGGUAG